CGCCACCGCCUCCCGUGCUUUGCAGACGGCCCCUCAGGCCGUGAUUCCGACACGGCCCGACAGCGCCUCAGGGGGCGACGCGGUGCCCGGGCCUGAGAGCGCCACAGCGGGCCCGGCCCCCGGAAUUACCAAGCAUGGCACUCAGUACAACAGUCAACUGAAGGAAAUGGUCUCCAGCUGUGGGAGUCUCCUGUGAGAAGUCAAUGACUUGGCAAAACUGUCACAUCAGCAAGGACAAUGAAGGAUUGCUUUCAGCAGUGGAACUGAUAGGUUGCUCAUCUGCAUAAUUAAGGG
RNAcentral lists this long non-coding RNA (294 nucleotides) under Gopherus agassizii (Agassiz's desert tortoise). RNAcentral describes it as "lncRNA (ENSGAGG00000014807.1)". The record is from RNAcentral. Lineage: Eukaryota; Metazoa; Chordata; Testudines; Testudinidae.